Molecule: non-coding RNA, 3811 nt
Organism: Cinara cedri
Lineage: Eukaryota; Metazoa; Arthropoda; Insecta; Hemiptera; Aphididae
Source: the annotation of a GenBank genome assembly
UUUUUUUCUUAGUUUGAUUUGAUUUUCAUGACAAAUAAUUGUAUCAAAUUUAUUAUUUGUUAUUGAUCUAACCAACUUUGACAUGAAAUAUCCGUUAUUUUGUACAUUAUACUAAUUUUAUUUUCCUUAUUCUUUUUUCGUUUUUUUUUUUCUGUUGCUUAUUAUUAUUUUCCUUAUUUCUUUUAUUCUUUGAUUUUUUUUGUGUUUUUAAAUUAUCGCACUGAAAAGAAGUGGACAUAUCGCAAUUCAACGUUUACAAUCAAUAAUUUUGUAUUAUAGCUAAUACUAUCUUCUAAAUCUUAAUUGUUAAGUUUUUUUUUCUGCAUUAUAAUUGUAACAAUUAAUAAUUUAAAAAAAAAACUAUUAGUGUAAGUAGUGGUUGGGUAAAAACAUUUUUUUUUAAUUAACUAUUGUAGUUAUCGAUUUAAGUAUAAAGUAAAGUGUAAGGUAUAUUUUUAAGUGUACUGUGUAGACGGUUAGUGAAUGUAUUAUUAUUAUUAUAGUUAUUUUAUAAGAAUGAAUGCCAUUGUGACAAUCAAAAUUCUAAAUGACGAUUACGCCAUCAAACGUAACGUCUGUAACUGUUCUUGGAAAAAAAUUAACAGAUUCACACGGACCUCAAAAAAAAAUUUUAAACACUUAUCAUAAGGCUCUUUUCACAUACAGUUUUGAUCAGACAGUAAUAUAAAUUUAGUGGACUGAAAAAAGUAUAGACUCAUAUUACACGGUCACGACAAAAUGCCGGUACUGUGCUAUAUAGCAGCCAUCUGUUUCCACUAUGGAGUACGGCAACCAGAUGACACUAUAGCUUAUUAACGGACAUGACUAAAUGCAUGUUUUAAGAUUUUUGAUAUGCAGACAAAACCAUUUAAUGUGAAAAAAGCCUGACUUUUCUGGGGUUCAUCGUGUAUCUGGUCUUGAACUUUCAUUUUUCACGAAACAUCGUAAACUUAUUUAUAUUAAUAAUUAUUAUUAUUGUUAUAACAUUUAUUAGACUUACCUUGAUGAUGUCCUCGACUUGUUAUCGAAUUUGUUAAAUCUAAUCGACGACCAGCCGUUUUCGUCCUACCCAUGUCAAUUCGUGCGCUGACACUAAGCGUUACCUGCAAUAAUUUUAAUAUUAUAAUAUUUUAUUACUAGAUAUUAAUAUUAUUAUUAUUACUAUCAUCGUGAUUAUAGUUCCGUGGUGUGUACUCACACAACAAUCAUAGCAAAUAAAGGCUACUAUAUUAUUAUGAUAUUAAAUAGGACAAUCGUUUUUUAUGGCCCAUCACCAUUGGCCGGACACAGUUAGAUGUAUUUUAUUAUUAUUAUAUUAUUAUUAUUAUUACUAUUAUUAUUAUUAUUAUUAUUAUUAUUAUUAUUAUUAUUAUUAUUAUUAUUGAUAUUAUUAUUAGGUAUUUAUAUCCAUUUGUAUUAUUGUUACAAUAUUUUACCUACCGCCUCUGCCCACCUCCCAGUUAUUAUUAUACCCUUGUUAGUGGCAGUGAAAACAAAUAUUUAAAAAAAUUUUGUUUAAAAAUAUGUUUCAUUUUUUAAGUGUUUAGAUGUAUAAUUAUUAAUUAUUAACAUAAGGACAUAAUAUUAUUAUAAUAAUUCUAGAUAUGAUUUUUUUUUUUGUGAUUAUUAUUAUAAUAAUAUAUAGGUAAUUUACAAUAUUUAGUCAAAUUUUUCAAAUGUAUAACCAAAUCUGAAUAAUUGAAACACACUCACACAUAAUCACUACUUCUUAUUACUUCAUACUUGGUCUUUAUUAAUCUUUAUUAUCUAUUGUUCACUCUUUUUCUGUUAUAUGUCUGUGCAUGUGUCUUCUUAACUCUUAAAAACAUUCUCUACUUCUCGAUUUAUAUUUUCCAAUCAUAGAUAGCUAGUUUAAACUAUAAAUAUGGUUGAGCAGAAGAUUUUGUAGUUUUAAUGUUGGUGUUAUAGCCCUUGUAUACUCUUACUUUUAUCGUUUGGUACAAAAACAAUUUUAUAAAAUAGGACAUCGAAAAUGAAACUAAUCCCAUUAUUGGUUCGGUGCUAUGUUUUUCGGUUGUACGAAUCAACAAAAAACCACGCACAAACUUAGCUAACUAGAAAAUUGAUAUUUCCCUCUUCGGAAUGAAAUUCAAUAGUAUUAUUACAAUACAUUUUAAUGGUCAUUGCGAGAAAUCGAUUUGAAUUGUCGAAGAUGGUAGGAGUGCCCAGUGAAAAUUUGAUGGUUGCUCUUACCCUCGGGAUUAUAUUAUAUAAAUCUUGUCCCGUGUUCGUUUUUCUCCGUUGAUUAACUACAGACUAUUAUUAUAAUAUUUAUUAUAUUAUUAAUAAACAAUAAUAGACAAAGCGAAUUAGGUAUUCAACUAGCCCACCACCUAGGCUUUUAUAAUUUGUUCCUUUCGGGCUGUUUGGAAUAAAAUAUAGAGUAAAUAGGUAUUCGCUUAUUUUGCCCUUUUUACAUCGCAUAUAUCAAAAUAUGUUCAGUUGUUGUGCGUGCCAUCCGAUUUCAGUGCCAAAAAUAUAUUCUAACAGACUCGGCAUAGCACCUAUACAAGGUGUGGAUUUUGUUAUUAUUAUGUAGGUGUAUCGAAUUUGAAUAGUUUUUAUAGUUUGCGUAUCGUAAUAUUUAUUACAUAGAUAUUUGAUAAUAUUAUCUAUCUUCUUGGUUUUUUUAAAUAUAAAUUUGGUAUUGAGCGUCUGUUUAGUAUGAUGUUAAGUAGAUAUAAUAAUAUAAUAAAUAGAUAGGUACAGAGACGAAUACCAAUAAUUAGAAGUUGUUACUCAGUUCGUUUGAGAAAAAAAAUGUUUUUUUCCUUGGUAGUUCGUACACUCGCUACUUCAAAUUUAAAAAUUUCCCACGGGGGUCGAAAUACAGUAGGACAUUUUCGAAAAACCCUGUUUUAUUCAUUGCGGUGGUAACGCGGGGUAAAUAAAUGAACAAAGGUAUCGAAAAACGUAUAAAUAUGCGCAUGACAAAGUAUCUACCUAAUAGUGGAUCACGUUAUCGUUCGGUAUGCGCAUUUUCUCCAUAGCCAGCAUAUUAUUUUGUCGUAGUUCAGCACUUCUGAUUGGUCAGUGUGUUAAUUGACCGGUAAUAGCGGUAAUUCUAAUGCUGACCAAUAAGAAGCGAAGAUCUAAAUUAUUAAUAAUUGACGAUGAAGUGAAGAAAUAUUUGAUCAAAGUUCGCAUAUUAAAAACACUGUGAUCGUAAUACGUCUAUUUUGUCAUGCGCUUCUAAAUACAUUCUGUUCGGAACAAGAUUAAACAGCUCAGACAUCGAAAACGAGACGCGUUUACGCAUUCCCGCCACUUAACCACCAGCUUUACCGGCUGUGCUCGCUCCCUGUAGGCUGUCAGCGCGGUGGCGACGACCAAUCACAUAACGCGUAGCGUCCACUAAGGAUCCGGAUUCGCUCUGCAGCUCAGUCUGCAUGUCCUAUAGCAAUUCGGUUUUACCCCGAAUAAAGCAUAUAGAUUUCUAUGACCUCCACUUCCACGGUCUGCGGCCCGCAAAUGGCGACCCAUACCUCCCAUAUAACUUUCCUAACCGAUACAUUUUUAUCUAUUUAUUAAUACUUAUAAGUAUAUAAUUUACGCGUAGGAAUAAAUAAGAUAUAUUACAAUCGAGUAGAUGACGAGUUACAUUAAUUAUUAUUAUAACGGUAUAAAUUAAAAAUUAACAAAAUAAUUAUUAUUUUAAAACAAGUAAACUCUCGACAAUCAUACGCGGGGUGUGCAAAACAACAAUCACUAGUGUUACUAUAUAAUAUUAUUACUUCUCGUGUUACGUAAAAUAUAUUCUAAUACAAAUAUAAUAGGUAUGUAAUUAUAA